UUAGCGGAUGACUUGUGGCUGGGGGUGAAAGGCCAAUCAAACCGGGAGAUAGCUGGUUCUCCCCGAAAGCUAUUUAGGUAGCGCCUCGUGAAUUCAUCUCCGGGGGUAGAGCACUGUUUCGGCAAGGGGGUCAUCCCGACUUACCAACCCGAUGCAAACUGCGAAUACCGGAGAAUGUUAUCACGGGAGACACACGGCGGGUGCUAACGUCCGUCGUGAAGAGGGAAACAACCCAGACCGCCAGCUAAGGUCCCAAAGUCAUGGUUAAGUGGGAAACGAUGUGGGAAGGCCCAGACAGCCAGGAUGUUGGCUUAGAAGCAGCCAUCAUUUAAAGAAAGCGUAAUAGCUCACUGGUCGAGUCGGCCUGCGCGGAAGAUGUAACGGGGCUAAACCAUGCACCGAAGCUGCGGCAGCGACGCUUAUGCGUUGUUGGGUAGGGGAGCGUUCUGUAAGCCUGCGAAGGUGUGCUGUGAGGCAUGCUGGAGGUAUCAGAAGUGCGAAUGCUGACAUAAGUAACGAUAAAGCGGGUGAAAAGCCCGCUCGCCGGAAGACCAAGGGUUCCUGUCCAACGUUAAUCGGGGCAGGGUGAGUCGACCCCUAAGGCGAGGCCGAAAGGCGUAGUCGAUGGGAAACAGGUUAAUAUUCCUGUACUUGGUGUUACUGCGAAGGGGGGACGGAGAAGGCUAUGUUGGCCGGGCGACGGUUGUCCCGGUUUAAGCGUGUAGGCUGGUUUUCCAGGCAAAUCCGGAAAAUCAAGGCUGAGGCGUGAUGACGAGGCACUACGGUGCUGAAGCAACAAAUGCCCUGCUUCCAGGAAAAGCCUCUAAGCAUCAGGUAACAUCAAAUCGUACCCCAAACCGACACAGGUGGUCAGGUAGAGAAUACCAAGGCGCUUGAGAGAACUCGGGUGAAGGAACUAGGCAAAAUGGUGCCGUAACUUCGGGAGAAGGCACGCUGAUAUGUAGGUGAAGUCCCUCGCGGAUGGAGCUGAAAUCAGUCGAAGAUACCAGCUGGCUGCAACUGUUUAUUAAAAACACAGCACUGUGCAAACACGAAAGUGGACGUAUACGGUGUGACGCCUGCCCGGUGCCGGAAGGUUAAUUGAUGGGGUUAGCGCAAGCGAAGCUCUUGAUCGAAGCCCCGGUAAACGGCGGCCGUAACUAUAACGGUCCUAAGGUAGCGAAAUUCCUUGUCGGGUAAGUUCCGACCUGCACGAAUGGCGUAAUGAUGGCCAGGCUGUCUCCACCCGAGACUCAGUGAAAUUGAACUCGCUGUGAAGAUGCAGUGUACCCGCGGCAAGACGGAAAGACCCCGUGAACCUUUACUAUAGCUUGACACUGAACAUUGAGCCUUGAUGUGUAGGAUAGGUGGGAGGCUUUGAAGUGUGGACGCCAGUCUGCAUGGAGCCGACCUUGAAAUACCACCCUU
RNAcentral lists this ribosomal RNA (1428 nucleotides) under Escherichia coli. RNAcentral describes it as "partial 23S ribosomal RNA". It matches the Rfam family "Bacterial large subunit ribosomal RNA", at positions 797 to 2207 of the family's 2925-position model. Lineage: Bacteria; Pseudomonadati; Pseudomonadota; Gammaproteobacteria; Enterobacterales; Enterobacteriaceae. The record is from RNAcentral.